GACAGCAUGUAUGUGGUGUAACAUGUAAACAAGCUUGAUAAAAUAUAUACGUAUGAAUAAUUAAAAUAAAAUAACAUAAAAUUAGUCGUAAACAAUUGAAAAUUUGAUAAGUGUUUAGAAAAAAAAAAACCACUCCGCUGACUGACGUGCGUUAUAUGUCAUGUACCUGAAACUACGCGGUGAACUGAUGGUUUGCAGUGUUUAUAAAGUGAUGCACAGUAGAGGUUAUAAAGAGAAAAUAUUUAUAAUUUUAUAUUUAUUAGUUUCUUUCUAUAUAUAAUUUUUAUCGAAGUACUACUAAACACAGUCAUCAUAAAGGAUAAAUACACAUAAAAUGAUGGUUACAACAAACAAGAAUUAAUAAUUUUAGUUUGAACUUGCCCGAGUUGCUAAACAUACACUUGGGAAACUGAUGGAUUUUUGUAGCGAUGGAAUAGCUACAAGAGCUACUUGUCAAGACAAAACAGCCUGAAGUAAAAAGGAUAAAAGGCUUGAAAUGUAUGGACCAGAGAAGAAUAGAAAAAUAUUGCGGACUAUCAGAACUGACUGCUCCGGCCAUAAGUAACCAAGGAAAUCAAAGAGAAAAAAUUCUCGCUGGAAUAUAAACGGUUAUAUGGGUCAAAUUGAAAAAUUAAAACGCAGGUAUUGUGACAUUAAUAUUUUUAUGUAAAUUAAUUUAAUUCUUUUCUGAUAGGAUGCCGGUUAACACUUACGUGUUAAAUAUAAAUAGGAUGAAAUUGAUGAAAUUUCAUCCCAAAUAAGGCUUAAUUAUUGCUUUAAAGUUAAUAUUAAUUUAAAAAUAAUUUACAAUAAAAUUUUAAUAUUGUAAAAUAAAAUGUAAGAUAAGAUUAAAAAUAUUUCAGUAGGUCUGGUUGUGUAGAUUUUCGUAAUCUACAUGAAGCUAAGACCUUGUCAUUAGAUAAUAAUCGAUUUAUAGUUUAAGAAAAAUAUUAAUUAAAAAACAAUCUACGAUGCAAUUUGAAUAUUGUAAAAUAAAAUGUUAAAUAAGAUUUAAAAAUAUUUCAGUAGGUCUGGUUGUGUAGAUUUUCGUAAUCUACAUGAAGCUAAGACCUUGUCAUUAGAUAAUAAUCGAUUUAUAGUUUAAGAAAAAUAUUAAUUAAAAAACAAUCUACGAUGCAAUUUUAAUAUUGUAAAAUAAAAUGUAAGAUAAGAUUAAAAAUAUUUCAGUAGGUCUGGUUGUGUAGAUUUUCGUAAUCUGCAUGAAGCCAAGACCUUGAAAUUAGAUAAUAAUCGUUUUAUAGAUUAAGAGAAAUAUUAAUUGAAAAACACUUCGCAAUAAAAUUCGAAUAUUGUAAAAUGAGAUUAAAAAAAUGUCAGUAGGUCUGGUUGUGUAGAUUUUCGUAAUCUACAUGAAGCUAAGACCUUGUCAUUAGAUAAUAAUCGAUUUUUACUAUUAUUAUUUUUAUAAUUAUUAUUUACCCAAAAAUGAAGUAUUUGCUCACGAUUGAAUAAGUUCAAUAAUAGUCCAAAAAUAACUUCUUUUGAGUUGGAAUAUUUGGUUGAGUCCGGUUUUGUUAAUUUUCAUUAUCGGCCUAAAACCAGGGUUUUCAAACCAAAUUUCACCAAUUAUAUAAAUUUUCACAUUCUAAUAACUAAUAAUUUUUUAGACAACCAUAUAAGAGACGCAUAAAAUUUUCAUGUUAUUUUUGAAUUAUCUCAAUCAUUUGAACAUGUACUUGAAAUUUUUAAGUUCUCUUACUUAUCGAUUUAAGUCUAAAAAUUCUUAACGCUGUCACGCUCACAGAGGGCGUUAGUGAUAUAAAGCGUGUUAAAAAGUACUUAUCUGGUGAGCUCACUACUCGGGGAAAGGAACCCUUUUUACCGGUAAAUUAUCUAUAAACCGCUCUUAAUAAAAGUAAUGAAAUACUUUAAACCAUUUGAAUAGUUUAAAAUUUUAAUGACAGGUUCUAUUCACUUAUAGUUAAAAUUUAAUAUUAUCACUUAUUAAUUAUCAUCAUUAAUUAAUUCACAUUAUAAAAUAAACAAUUUAUAAUAAAUUUAAUAUUUGUUUUGAUCGCCCACAAUCGAAUUCCCACGAUAAUAUCGAGUCUUUUAUACAUUUUUAAAUAUUAAUUUUCACAGAAUUGUUAUUUAUCCUACUACUUUUUAAUCACGAUAAUAAACUAUUUAUUACACCACUAAUUUAGCAUAGUAAUAAAUUAUAUAUAAACGAAUUCAUAUAAAAUUAUUUGUAUUAUAUAGUUAUUAUUAUGUUUAAUUACACAACACUUUACUUAGCAAAUUUUUAUCAUGAAUUUGAGGUUAUUUAGUAUAUUAUGUAAAUGUAAAUAUAUCUUGACGAAGACGGUACAUAGGUGGAUGUAAAGUUUAAUCAGGGUAUCACUUCUAAGUCAUCGAUUAUUCUUUAAUCAAAUGAAUUAUUUAAGAUAAACCAAUAUGAUCAAUAAUUUAAUUAAAAAAUAGAUUUACUUAUCCCUGAUUAAAAAAAGCGAUUUAAAACGAUUUGCAAUGUUAAAUGCCCAGAAGAAGAGGGAUUCAAAAGUAUUCAAUGUAUUCAAAAGCAUUAAAAAGUAUUUAAAAUUUUUUAUUUCGAAUCGUUUUAAAUCGCUUUUUUCAAUCAGGGAUACUUACAGAGAUAUGCAUUUUAUAAUUAGUACUUUUAUUUGAAAUAUUAUUCUUAUUUGAAAUAAAUUUUUCAAAUAAAAAGCAAAAUAUCAUUUCCUUUGAAACAACGUUUAUUAUAAUCAAAUUCUAGUAUACAAUACAAUAUAUACUUAAUACCGUUGGAAAGCCGCGAAUCUAUCAAAAAAAUUCCAAGAAUAUAUCAACAGUACACCCUCAAAACUCCGCAAAAACUCCAACAAAACCCCGUGUCAAAGCCGUUAAAACUCCGACGAUACACCGAUGAAACUCCGUAAAAACCCUAACAAAACUCCGGAGAAAUACCGACAAAACUCCGAGUGUCAAAGCCGCUAAAACUCCGACGAUACACCGACGAAACUCUGCGAAAACCCUAACAAAACUCCGAAGAAACACCGACAAAACUCCAAGAAUACACCGGCAAAACACCGACGAAAGUCCAAAGAAAAACCGAGAAAACUCCGGGUGGACACCGACCAAACUCGAAGAAAACACGAGAGAAACCUUGUCUCGUAACUGCACAAGAAACGCCGCCCUUCUACCAUCAAAACACCGUCGUAACUCCGUCGAUACACUGUGGAAACACUGUAAAGGAGUAAACACCGUAGAAACUCCGUGUUUUCACCACGUUUCUACGGUGUCGUCAAAACCGCUAGGGUUUUCCUUAAUUGUACAACGUUACGUUUUUUACAGGUUAUAUCUUACGUAUAUUUGAAUAUAUUUUUAUCAUUUUUGUAUUUAUUUUUUAAAUAUUAAAUAAUCAAUAAUAAAUAUUUUAAAUUAAUAAUAUAAUAAUAUUUAGUAGAAAUUAGAUUAAAUAAUAAUAUAAUAAUUUAUAUCAAUGAAUAAUACAUACGGAUAGUUAUCCUUAAUUAUAUUGGAACACUUGAAAAAGUAUAUAAGCACAAUUUUCUUCACUAAUAUUUACAAAUAAGUAGUAAAUAAUAUUUAUCAAAAUGUUCAAUUUAAAUCACUAUAGUGAUUCAGUAUACUGAAUGUAAUUAUUAAGCACAUAUACAAUUCACACUUUUAAAACACGUGUUGUGUAUGUAGCAACUUCAACAUUUAGUUUUUGUGUAAACCCUGUGCGCGCGCAUCGUAAAGAUGCGGAUCAUACAGUAACAUAUAUGAUAGUACAUUCAGUAAUGUAUGGCCUAAGAUUGAAAUGAAAAUAACUAGAAAACAAUGCGAAACUCGAAUGAACUUUAUUCAUACUAAUUUGUAGGAAAUAAAAUUGUCUAUAAAAAAGAUUCUAUAACAUUUUUUGAUAUGUCUGAUAGUUUUGCUGGAAAAGUAAAAAGAUCUAAAAAUUUAUUAUAGAUUUGACUUCCAGCUCCGAUAAUUUUCGAAUGGAUGGAUCUAUCAAAAAAUGAUAAGAGACCUUUUUUGUAGAGCGUUAAAUUCUCUACAAUAAUAUGCUAUGAACUUAUUCAUAUGACGUGCGAAUGCCGAGCUAGAAAAAUAAAAAAAAAAAAAAUUUUUUC
Molecule: long non-coding RNA, 4106 nt
Organism: Microplitis mediator
Lineage: Eukaryota; Metazoa; Arthropoda; Insecta; Hymenoptera; Braconidae
Exons: 3
Source: RefSeq, a predicted model, not a curated record